This 468-nucleotide ribosomal RNA is filed under the name uncultured bacterium. RNAcentral describes it as "partial 16S ribosomal RNA". It matches the Rfam family "Bacterial small subunit ribosomal RNA", at positions 28 to 507 of the family's 1533-position model. The record is from RNAcentral.
GACGAACGCUGGCGGCGUGCUUAAUACAUGCAAGUCGAACGGUGAUGCUCCAGCUUGCUGGAGUGGAUCAGUGGCGAACGGGUGAGUAACACGUGAGCAACCUGCCCCAGACUCUGGAAUAAGCGCUGGAAACGGCGUCUAAUACUGGAUACGAAACUGGCCCGCAUGGGCAUGGUUUGGAAAGUUUUUCGGUUUGGGAUGGGCUCGCGGCCUAUCAGCUUGUUGGUGAGGUAAUGGCUCACCAAGGCGACGACGGGUAGCCGGCCUGAGAGGGCGACCGGCCACACUGGGACUGAGACACGGCCCAGACUCCUACGGGAGGCAGCAGUGGGGAAUAUUGCACAAUGGGCGAAAGCCUGAUGCAGCGACGCCGCGUGAGGGAUGACGGCCUUCGGGUUGUAAACCUCUUUCAGCAGGGAAGAAGCGAAAGUGACGGUACCUGCAGAAGAAGCACCGGCUAACUACGUG